Molecule: long non-coding RNA, 1635 nt
Filed under: Strongylocentrotus purpuratus (purple sea urchin)
Lineage: Eukaryota; Metazoa; Echinodermata; Echinoidea; Camarodonta; Strongylocentrotidae
Description: uncharacterized LOC105442549
Source: RNAcentral
UGAUGAUACCGUACCGUGAUCGCGACCACUAGAUUCUGUGUUUAUUAUGACCACGGCCACCCGGUGCAGGUGUAUCAUAACAUCAUCGUCUCUCAGACGUACUUACUCACUAGUAGUACACUCCGUACUACUGAGCUACGAGCUGUGCAACCAUUCUGUAUGUGUACGUACGGCCAGGUUUCGACAGUGUAACUACCUUUUUUGCCUUUUCGUCACUGUGCAUGUGAUCUAAAGUAUUAGGCUGCAGCUCUUGAGACUGGACAUUCUUUUUUUUUAACUAAGAUGGGGAACUGUUUGUCAGGUGGAGAGCCUCGGAGGAGUGGUAGUAAUGGAGGUGGAGGACAGACAAGGAUUCGCACACACAUGCUCUUUCCACCCAAGACCUCUGGUGGUGCCAGUCCAAGGUCAUCACCACAGACGCCCAGAAAACUUUGACAAUAUGCUGGAAAAAUUUGAAGAUACGUGCUGUGCUAGCCAGGAUAGCUUUGGAUGGUAGCCUGUUAGUUCACCUGGAAAAAGGAAAGUUUUAUGUGUUAAGUCUCAUAGAAAACAAGCAGUGGGAAUGUGACAUCACCAUGGCAACAAGAAUUGAACAGCUCAUGCAAGUAGUCAACUCUCUUGGUCCCCAACUCUGAUAUUACUUAAUUGAUUUGUAGUGACGUAAUAUGUCUGUAUUCAGAAAAUCAGUAUAAUACGGCCUGGACAAAGCUUAUGUAUACAUGUAUAAGAUAUUCAGUCAUUUAUUUUUACAUAAGGUAGAGAUACAUGUAUAUUGUAUACUUUUUUAAUAUGUACAGUGGCUUAUUUUACAUUGAAAAUGAACAUUAUCAAAUUACUCUUUAUGGAAAUAAAUGUUAGAAAGUAGCUUCCAUAUCAUUAUGUGCAUCAAAAAUGUAUUAAAUUUUUGUGAAAAUCAACUCUCAGAGCAAUAAGGGAGGGAAGGUAGCUUUUAAGAGGAUACACUUCAAAAUAUAUCAGAACAAAUGAUCAAACUCUUCCAUUAAUAAAAUUAGUAAAAAUUAUAGAAAUGGUACAUUUUACUUGGGCAAAUAUAAAUGAUUCUAUAAGCUGUCCAUCAAAAAUCAUUUUGUACUAGAUAUUGAUAAUGAUGUGAACUUAAGACAAUCAGUUGUAAAUUUUGUACUCUGAUUGAUCGAAACGUUAAAAUGUGUAAUACAGCUAUUCAAUUCGGACAUUUUAACACCUCUCUGUAUUUAAAUACUUCUUCUUCUCCCAAAAUGUUUUACUUAGAUUACACUUAUAACUCAAAAUGUUAACUACUAUUACACUAAUAACUCAAAAUAUACUUAUGUUCAGGGGGAAUAUGCAAUCUGGCAAGAGAUUCUUUAAAUUUAUGUAUUACUUUAUUAACUGUCAUUAUGGUACUACUAGACAAUGGAAAAUGUCACCAUUGUGUUAAUGAGCAACAAUUUAAUGAAUGGAAAAGUAUAAUUGUUUUGAAUGUGUGUUCCAUUGAGAGGAAUGCUCAAUGCUAUAAAUGAGUUAAUGAAUGUAAUUAGGAGCUUAUAGGCUUAGAUCACUUAACAUUGCCUUUCAUGUAAAUAGUUAUUGUCUAAUUUACCUCAUAUGUCGCAAUAUUUUUUUCCAAGGCAUUGCCAUGAAUGGAAAUUCAAU